GCCAGGCGUGGUGGCGCAUGCCUGUAAUCCCAGCUACUCAGGAGGCUGAGGUGGGAGAAUCGCUUGAGCCCGGGAGGCAGAGGUUGCAGUGAGCUGAGAUCGUACCACUGCACUCCAGCCUGGGCAACAGAGUGAGACCCUGUCUCAA
This 148-nucleotide signal recognition particle RNA is filed under the name Nomascus leucogenys (northern white-cheeked gibbon). RNAcentral's name for it is "Metazoan signal recognition particle RNA". It matches the Rfam family "Metazoan signal recognition particle RNA". Rfam says of the family: The signal recognition particle (SRP) is a universally conserved ribonucleoprotein. It is involved in the co-translational targeting of proteins to membranes. Lineage: Eukaryota; Metazoa; Chordata; Mammalia; Primates; Hylobatidae. The record is from Rfam by way of RNAcentral.